This 75-nucleotide transfer RNA is filed under the name Oscillospiraceae bacterium. RNAcentral describes it as "tRNA-Gly". It matches the Rfam family "tRNA". Rfam says of the family: Transfer RNA (tRNA) molecules are approximately 80 nucleotides in length. Their secondary structure includes four short double-helical elements and three loops (D, anti-codon, and T loops). Further hydrogen bonds mediate the characteristic L-shaped molecular structure. tRNAs have two regions of fundamental functional importance: the anti-codon, which is responsible for specific mRNA codon recognition, and the 3' end, to which the tRNAs corresponding amino acid is attached (by aminoacyl-tRNA synthetases). tRNAs cope with the degeneracy of the genetic code in two manners: having more than one tRNA (with a specific anti-codon) for a particular amino acid; and 'wobble' base-pairing, i.e. permitting non-standard base-pairing at the 3rd anti-codon position. RNAcentral also lists the same sequence under 1 other name. Lineage: Bacteria; Bacillati; Bacillota; Clostridia; Eubacteriales; Oscillospiraceae. The record is from RNAcentral.
GCGGGUGUAGCACAUCGGCUAGUGCAUCGGCCUUCCAAGCCGAGGAGGUGGGUUCGAUUCCCAUCACCCGCUCCA